This 485-nucleotide ribosomal RNA is filed under the name uncultured bacterium. Its description in RNAcentral is "bacterial SSU rRNA". It matches the Rfam family "Bacterial small subunit ribosomal RNA", at positions 30 to 507 of the family's 1533-position model. The record is from RNAcentral.
AUUGAACGCUGGCGGCAUGCCUUACACAUGCAAGUCGAACGGCAGCACGGGUGCUUGCACCUGGUGGCGAGUGGCGAACGGGUGAGUAAUACAUCGGAACGUACCUUAUCGUGGGGGAUAACGCAGCGAAAGCUGUGCUAAUACCGCAUACGCCCUGAGGGGGAAAGCGGGGGAUCGAAAGACCUCGCGCGAUUAGAGCGGCCGAUGCCUGAUUAGCUUGUUGGUGGGGUAAAAGCCCACCAAGGCGACGAUCAGUAGCUGGUCUGAGAGGACGAUCAGCCACACUGGGACUGAGACACGGCCCAGACUCCUACGGGAGGCAGCAGUGGGGAAUUUUGGACAAUGGGGGAAACCCUGAUCCAGCAAUGCCGCGUGAGUGAAGAAGGCCUUCGGGUUGUAAAGCUCUUUUGUCAGGGAAGAAACAGCAGCUCUAACACAGUCUGCGAAUGACGGUACCUGAAGAAUAAGCACCGGCUAACUACGUG